GACGAACGCUGGCGGCGUGCUUAACACAUGCAAGUCGAACGGAAAGGCCCUGCUUGCAGGGUACUCGAGUGGCGAACGGGUGAGUAACACGUGGGUGAUCUGCCCUGCACUUCGGGAUAAGCCUGGGAAACUGGGUCUAAUACCGGAUAGGAGCCAUAUUUAGUGUGAUGGUUGGAAAGUUUUUUCGGUGUAGGAUGAGCUCGCGGCCUAUCAGCUUGUUGGUGGGGUAAUGGCCUACCAAGGCGGCGACGGGUAGCCGGCCUGAGAGGGUGGACGGCCACAUUGGGACUGAGAGACGGCCCAGACUCCUACGGGAGGCAGCAGUGGGGAAGAUUGCACAAGGGGCGCAAGCCUGAUGCAGCGACGCCGCGUGGGGGAUGACGGCCUUCGGGUUGUAAACUCCUUUCGCUAGGGACGAAGCUUUUUGUGACGGUACCUAGAUAAGAAGCACCGGCUAACUACGUG
RNAcentral lists this ribosomal RNA (465 nucleotides) under uncultured bacterium. Its description in RNAcentral is "partial 16S ribosomal RNA". It matches the Rfam family "Bacterial small subunit ribosomal RNA", at positions 28 to 507 of the family's 1533-position model. The record is from RNAcentral.